RNAcentral lists this ribosomal RNA (306 nucleotides) under uncultured bacterium. RNAcentral's name for it is "partial 16S ribosomal RNA". It matches the Rfam family "Bacterial small subunit ribosomal RNA", at positions 507 to 807 of the family's 1533-position model. The record is from RNAcentral.
GACAGCAGUAGCCGCGGUAAUACGGAGGGUGCAAGCGUUAAUCGGAAUUACUGGGCGUAAAGCGUGCGUAGGCGGUUCGUUAAGUCUGUUGUGAAAGCCCCGGGCUCAACCUGGGAAUGGCAAUGGAUACUGGCGAGCUAGAGUGUGUCAGAGGAUGGUGGAAUUCCCGGUGUAGCGGUGAAAUGCGUAGAGAUCGGGAGGAACAUCAGUGGCGAAGGCGGCCAUCUGGGACAACACUGACGCUGAGGCACGAAAGCGUGGGGAGCAAACAGGAUUAGAUACCCGCGUAGUCCCUGUCUCUUAUAC